AACGCAUCUUGCGCUCCUUGGUAUUCCGAGGAGCAUGCCUGUUUGAGUGUCAUUCAACUUCUCAACCACAUUCAUUGAUUGUGGCUUGGAUUGUGGGGGUUUGUUUUUGCAGGCUUCUUCUGUAAAAAAGAAAGGUCGGCUCCCCUGAAAUGUAUCAGUGGUAUCUGAGGCUAUUACUAUAGGUGUGAUAAUUAUCUAUGCCCUUGGUAUGCCGCAUGAACUGCUUCCAACAGAGAUGACCCUUUUGAUGAAUUUGACCUCAAAUCAGGUAGGACUACCCGCUGAACUUAA
This 291-nucleotide unclassified non-coding RNA is filed under the name uncultured fungus. RNAcentral describes it as "partial contains 5.8S ribosomal RNA, internal transcribed spacer 2, and large subunit ribosomal RNA". The stretch from base 1 to 52 matches the Rfam family "5.8S ribosomal RNA", at positions 103 to 154 of the family's 154-position model. Lineage: Eukaryota; Fungi. The record is from RNAcentral.